This 253-nucleotide ribosomal RNA is filed under the name uncultured bacterium. RNAcentral describes it as "partial 16S ribosomal RNA". It matches the Rfam family "Bacterial small subunit ribosomal RNA", at positions 524 to 776 of the family's 1533-position model. The record is from RNAcentral.
UACGUAGGUGACCAGCGUUGUCCGGAUUUACUGGGCGUAAAGAGCGCGCAGGCGGUCGUUCAAGUCGAGUGUGAAAGCUCCCGGCUCAACUGGGAGAGCGCGUGGGAGACUGUUGGGCUAGAGACUCGGAGAGGGGUGUGGAAUUCCCGGUGGAGUGGUGAAAUGCGUUGAGAUCGGGAGGAACACCAGUGGCGAAGGCGGCACCCUGGCCGAGUUCUGACGCUGAAGCGCGACAGCGUGGGGAGCAAACGGG